AACGAACGCUGGCGGCAGGCCUAACACAUGCAAGUCGGGCGCCCAGCAAUGGGAGCGGCGGACGGGUGAGUAACGCGUGGGAAUUUUUCCUGGAGUACGGAACAACCGAGGGAAACUUCGGCUAAUACCGUAUGAUGUCUAGCGACCAAAAAUUUAUCGCUCUGGGGUAAGCCCGCGUCAGAUUAGGUAGUUGGUGGGGUAACGGCCUACCAAGCCUGCGAUCUGUAGCUGGUCUGAGAGGACGAUCAGCCACACUGGGACUGAGACACGGCCCAGACUCCUACGGGAGGCAGCAGUGGGGGAAUCUUGCGCAAUGGGCGAAAGCCUGACGCAGCCAUGCCGCGUGAGUGAAGAAGGUCUUAGGAUUGUAAAGACUCUUUCGUCUCGUGACGAUGAUGACGGUAACGAGAGAAGAAGCCCCGGCUAACUUCGUGCCAGCAGCCGCGGUAAG
RNAcentral lists this ribosomal RNA (451 nucleotides) under uncultured bacterium. RNAcentral's name for it is "bacterial SSU rRNA". It matches the Rfam family "Bacterial small subunit ribosomal RNA", at positions 29 to 524 of the family's 1533-position model. The record is from RNAcentral.